RNAcentral lists this ribosomal RNA (253 nucleotides) under uncultured bacterium. Its description in RNAcentral is "partial 16S ribosomal RNA". It matches the Rfam family "Bacterial small subunit ribosomal RNA", at positions 524 to 776 of the family's 1533-position model. The record is from RNAcentral.
UACGUAGGGGGCAAGCGUUGUCCGGAUUCAUUGGGCGUAAAGAGCUCGUAGGCGGCCACUCAAGUCGAAUGUGAAACCUCGAGGCUUAACCUCGAGCCUGCAUUUGAUACUGGGCGGCUAGAGUCUGGUAGGGGGAUCUGGAAUUCCUGGUGUAGCGGUGGAAUGCGCAGAUAUCAGGAGGAACACCGGUGGCGAAGGCGGGAUCCUGGGCCAGUACUGACGCUGAGGAGCGAAAGCGUGGGGAGCAAACAGG